RNAcentral lists this ribosomal RNA (1272 nucleotides) under metagenome. Its description in RNAcentral is "SSU rRNA". It matches the Rfam family "Eukaryotic small subunit ribosomal RNA", at positions 158 to 1375 of the family's 1831-position model. The record is from RNAcentral.
GUAGAGCUAAUACAUGCACGAAUUUCCGACUGUGGCUAUGGGGUAACUCAUGGUUGUGGAAGGAAAGCACUUGUUAGCCGGGCAAGCCAAUGCGGGAGUAAUUCUCGGAACAUGGCGAGUCAUAACAAUUGAGCGAAUCGCAUGUCCUUGAGACGGCGAUGCACCAUUCAAAUUUCUGCCCUAUCAACUUUCGAUGGUAGGAUCGGGGCCUACCAUGGUUAUUACGGGUAACGGGGAAUUAGGGUUUGACUCCGGAGAGGGAGCUCGAGAAACGGCUACCACUUCCAAGGAAGGCAGUAGGGCGCAAAUUACCCAAUGGCGACACGCCGAGGUAGUGACAACAAAUAAGUAGAUAGGUCCCACAAGGGAUUUGUCAUACGAAUGAGUACUUAAACCCCUUAACGAAAGCCACUGGAGGACAAGUCUGGUGCCAGCACCCGCGGUAAUUCCAGCUCCAGUAGCGUAUAUAAAGCUGUGCGGUUAAAAAGCUCGUAGUCGGAUUUGAAGGCUGUCAGAAGACCGGUCCACGCGUAGUCGUGAGCACUGGUUUUCGGGUCUUUAUACCUUUCUGGAUGCCUGUUCCUGCUCUUCAUUGAGUGGGGAUACAAAGGGGAAGCGCAAGCCGAACCGAAGGUUCCAGAUCAUUUACUUUGAGAAAAUUAGAGUGUUCAAAGCAGGCGGUCACGCCUUGAAUACAUAAGCAUGGGAUAAUGCCAUGGGACUCUGAGCCCAUUUCGUUGGUUUCUGGGAAUGGAGUCACGAUCAACAGGGACAGUUGGGGUGAUUCAUAUUUUGCCGACAGGGGUGAAAUCCUAUGACCGGCGAAAGAUGAACUAGUGCGAAAGCAUUUCACAAGGAUGUUUUCAUUGAUCAAGAACGAAAGUUGAGGGAUCGAAGGCGAUCAGAUACCGCCCUAGUCUCAACCAUAAACCAUGCCGACCAGGGAUCGGAAGACGUUCAAUUUACUCGACUCCUCCGGCACCUUGUGAGAAAUCACAAGUCUUUGGGCUUCGGGGGGAGUAUGGUCGCAAGGCUGAAACUUAAAGGAAUUGACGGAACGACACCACCAGGAGUGGAGCCUGCGGCUUAAUUCGACCCAACACGGGAAAACUCACCAGGUCCAGACAGCGGAAGGAUGUACAGACUUGCAGAUCUUUAUAGAUUCGCUGGGUGGUGGUGCAUGGCCGUUCUUGGCUCGUGCGUUGACUUGUCUGGUUAAUUCCGUUAACGAGCGAGACCUCAGCCUGCUAAAUAGUCACUAUACUCCUGUAC